RNAcentral lists this unclassified non-coding RNA (261 nucleotides) under Actinomortierella ambigua. RNAcentral describes it as "Mortierella ambigua partial internal transcribed spacer region". The stretch from base 1 to 46 matches the Rfam family "Eukaryotic small subunit ribosomal RNA", at positions 1786 to 1831 of the family's 1831-position model. The record is from RNAcentral. Lineage: Eukaryota; Fungi; Mortierellomycota; Mortierellomycetes; Mortierellales; Mortierellaceae.
AAGUCGUAACAAGGUUUCCGUAGGUGAACCUGCGGAAGGAUCAUUCAUAAUAAGUGUUUUAUGGCACUUUUUAAAUCCAUACCCACCUUGUGUGCAACGUAAGAAGAAAAAAAGAAGAUGCGAGUCAUGGGGAAACCCAAGUCUUGCUCCCUUUCUUUUUUCUUUUCCACAUACACCUUUCUAUUAGUUCCUAUUGUCUGAAGCUGUUAGAGAAUGACUAAUUCUUAAACAUAACUUUCAACAACGGAUCUCUUGGCUCUC